This is a non-coding RNA of Podarcis lilfordi (Lilford's wall lizard), 77 nucleotides long. The record is from the annotation of a GenBank genome assembly. NCBI's taxonomy places the organism in Eukaryota, Metazoa, Chordata, Lepidosauria, Squamata, Lacertidae.
GCUGAGCUGGUUCAAUUGGUUAGAGCAUAGUGCUGAUAAUGCCAAGGUCAAAGUUUUGAUCCCUGUAUGGGUCAGCU